UAGGGAAUCUUCGGCAAUGGACGAAAGUCUGACCGAGCAACGCCGCGUGAGUGAAGAAGGUUUUCGGAUCGUAGAACUCUGUUGGUAGAGAAGAACGUUGGUGAGAGUGGAAAGCUCAUCAAGUGACGGUAACUACCCAGAAAGGGACGGCUAACUACGUGCCAC
RNAcentral lists this ribosomal RNA (165 nucleotides) under uncultured bacterium. RNAcentral's name for it is "partial 16S rRNA". It matches the Rfam family "Bacterial small subunit ribosomal RNA", at positions 355 to 511 of the family's 1533-position model. The record is from RNAcentral.